RNAcentral lists this ribosomal RNA (253 nucleotides) under uncultured bacterium. RNAcentral's name for it is "partial 16S ribosomal RNA". It matches the Rfam family "Bacterial small subunit ribosomal RNA", at positions 524 to 776 of the family's 1533-position model. The record is from RNAcentral.
GACGUAGGGCGCGAGCGUUGUCCGGAUUUAUUGGGCGUAAAGAGCUCGUAGGCGGCUUGUCGCGUCGACUGUGAAAACUCGGGGCUCAACUCCGAGCUUGCAGUCGAUACGGGCAGGCUAGAGUUCGGUAGGGGAGACUGGAAUUCCUGGUGUAGCGGUGAAAUGCGCAGAUAUCAGGAGGAACACCAAUGGCGAAGGCAGCUCGCUGGGACGGUACUGACGCUGAGGCGCGAAAGCGUGGGGAGCAAACAGG